CGUAUCCCCAUAUAAUACAGGUAUGGGCUAUCUCAUUAAAAAAAGUUAUCUGUUACGGAACAAUGUGAGACAAUUUGUGCAUUGUGUUUAAGCCAGGCUGCGGAAUGUUUAAAUAAGAACAAGACCGCUGAAUAAUUUUCCAGUGAUUUCAUCAUUGUUGUAAUUAUCAAUAUUGGCUAUUCCGCAUUUGCAUAACCGUAUCGCAGACUCAGAGUCUUUGACAGAUCACACAAACGCUCUAACUUAUCAAUGUUCGGGACUCUGGUGAUUAGCAAAGCAUUCAUUCACAGCUUGUCAGUUCGGUUAAACGCUGCUCUAGCCAUGAAGUGUUUUACGCUGGCUACCAUCUUCAUAACCUUCCUGUUUAUAACAGCAGGUUUCAGCGAAGAAGAAUCUGAGGCGCAGGUUUCCGUGACAGAUGAACCAGAAGCGAUACCUUCUACCACUCAGGAAUUAAUAUCGGUCGAGGUUGAUGGUGAAAACGACAAUCAAGAGGCUACUGUCGGAAUUAGCCAAGUAAACAUAAUUAUCGCCCCAAAGGUGUGUCCGGCAGGUCAAAAGCUUGACCACCGCGGUGUCUGUCGCAGACCUAUACAUUUUUAACUUGAGAUGUAAACGUUUUUGAUCUGACAUCAUGCGUCUUCAUUUAAUGUUUAUAAUGUUUACCAUGAACAUAUUCGUAAACAAGCAGCUUGAAAAUAUAAAUCUGCCCUGUUCUUGAUUAGUGUCGAAAAUUAAAA
Wyeomyia smithii (pitcher-plant mosquito) is the source of this 740-nucleotide long non-coding RNA. RefSeq lists it as uncharacterized. The record is from RefSeq and is a predicted model, not a curated record. NCBI's taxonomy places the organism in Eukaryota, Metazoa, Arthropoda, Insecta, Diptera, Culicidae. The transcript has 2 exons.